CCAGAGAACUUAGUAGAGAUGCUUUGGUGCCUUCGGGAACUCUGAGACAGGUGCUGCAUGGCUGUCGUCAGCUCGUGUUGUGAAAUGUUGGGUUAAGUCCCGCAACGAGCGCAACCCUUAUCCUUUGUUGCCAGCGGUUCGGCCGGGAACUCAAAGGAGACUGCCAGUGAUAAACUGGAGGAAGGUGGGGAUGACGUCAAGUCAUCAUGGCCCUUACGAGUAGGGCUACACACGUGCUACAAUGGCAUAUACAAAGAGAAGCGACCUCGCGAGAGCAAGCGGACCUCAUAAAAUAUGUCGUAGUCCGGAUUGGAGUCUGCAACUCGACUCCAUGAAGUCGGAAUCGCUAGUAAUCGUAGAUCAGAAUGCUACGGUGAAUACGUUCCCGGGCCUUGUACACACCGCCCGUCACACCAUGGGAGUGGGUUGCAAAAGAAGUAGGUAGCUUAACCUUCGGGAGGGCGCUUACCACUUUGUGAUUCAUGACUGGGGUGAAGUCGUAACAAGGUAACCGUAGGGGAACCUGCGGUUGGAUCACCUCCUUACCUUAAAGAA
This 555-nucleotide ribosomal RNA is filed under the name Escherichia coli. RNAcentral's name for it is "bacterial SSU rRNA". It matches the Rfam family "Bacterial small subunit ribosomal RNA", at positions 988 to 1533 of the family's 1533-position model. The record is from RNAcentral. Lineage: Bacteria; Pseudomonadati; Pseudomonadota; Gammaproteobacteria; Enterobacterales; Enterobacteriaceae.